AUUGAACGCUGGCGGCGUGCCUAACACAUGCAAGUCGAGCGGUAACAGGUGUAGCAAUACAUGCUGACGAGCGGCGGACGGGUGAGUAACGCUUGGGAAUCUGCCUGAUAGUGGGGGACAACCCGGGGAAACUCGGGCUAAUACCGCAUACGCACUACGGUGGAAAGCCGGGGACCGCAAGGCCUGGCGCUAUCAGAUGAGCCCAAGUCGGAUUAGCUAGUUGGAGGGUAACGGCCUACCAAGGCGACGAUCCGUAACUGGUCUGAGAGGACGACCAGUCACACCGGAACUGAGACACGGUCCGGACUCCUACGGGAGGCAGCAGUGGGGAAUAUUGGACAAUGGGCGAAAGCCUGAUCCAGCGACG
Molecule: ribosomal RNA, 367 nt
Filed under: uncultured bacterium
Lineage: Bacteria
Description: bacterial SSU rRNA
Rfam family: Bacterial small subunit ribosomal RNA
Source: RNAcentral